This is a long non-coding RNA of Anneissia japonica, 561 nucleotides long. RefSeq lists it as uncharacterized. The record is from RefSeq and is a predicted model, not a curated record. Lineage: Eukaryota; Metazoa; Echinodermata; Crinoidea; Comatulida; Comatulidae. The transcript has 3 exons.
UUCACCAAUAAAAUGUUAUUUUUAUUUUCUCCUCCGUCUGGCUGUUUUUGGCAAAACUAUUAGCUAAAUAAGAAAACAAAACUUUUUAUUUCUAUUCCGCCCUCCUCCGAUGAUCUUUAAGAAACAUAAGUACGCAAAACAAGGAUUUAAAAAAAAAGUCUCGCCUAAAGACUAUCUUUAUUAAAAUCUACAAAAAAAUCCUUGAAUAUUCAACAACAACAAAAUGGAAUGUUUAUUCAAAAGAUUAAAUAAAUCAUCAAUUUCCAAUUAGAAACAGAACUCAACAUUCAAAUUUUUCUCUUACUUAAUUUUUUACUUCAAAAAUCCUUACAGCAUAUUUAGACGAGACUUUUUUUAUACCUUGUUUUGUGAACUUAUUUUUUUUAAAGAUCAUCAGAAGGCAGAAAAAAAUAAAUAUACAAUUUGGUUUUCUUAUUUAGCAAAUAGUUUUGCCAAAUACUGUACAGCUAUAAGUCGUACGUACGCCCUAAUAAGGCGUACGCCUUAGUAAGGCAUACGUACGGGUUACAUAAGGCGUACGUACGGCUUAAUAACCCAUAA